RNAcentral lists this unclassified non-coding RNA (1757 nucleotides) under Sipha flava (yellow sugarcane aphid). Its description in RNAcentral is "facilitated trehalose transporter Tret1-like, transcript variant X5". The record is from RNAcentral. Lineage: Eukaryota; Metazoa; Arthropoda; Insecta; Hemiptera; Aphididae.
ACUCAGUAUAAACUAUAAAGUAUAGGGCAUAGAUUAUAGGGUGCCUCCAACUUUUUAGAAAAUAAUAAAGGGUCCCGUGAGUCAAAAAAGGUUGGGAACCUCUGACCUACUCAGUCGCAUCGCAAAAAUUCAAAUCGCGCCACGUCAGUCGCGUCAGUCGCGUGUCUACAGACGCGUCCUAAAGAAUCGCACCUUCACAUUUAUCGCAGUGAUCAAGGUAAAAUUUGGAGCUCGAGAGGAAAACAUGUACGUAUGUGUUAUCAAAAAAGUACCUAGUUCUAUAUGAAAAUAAUCCAACGAGGAGCAUACUGAUCGCAGUUAAAAAUGAAAAAAACUAAAUUAAUUCAUCAACUUAAGUUGACUACGUCAAUGUUUUUAAUUGCGUAUGUCGAUAUAUUUAUUGGAUGCGUGGUUAUAUUCUCAGCAGUAAUUUUGGGACAACUCAAUGAGCCUACAUCUUCGCUAAAAGUAAACAAAGAAGAGGCAUCUUGGAUAGCUAGUAUUAUAACACUAAUUUGUCUAGUGAGCUAUUUGUUUAUUGGACCAUUGAUGGAUAUAAUCGGAAGAAAAAAGGCACUUUGUUUUACUUAUAUACCAAUAAUGUUGAGUUGGUUAAUAUUUGUAUAUGCUGACUCCUAUUAUACCAUUCUCAUAGGAAGAGUUCUGCAGGGAUUUGUAAUUAGUGCAACACCUUGUACGUACGUGUACGCCGCAGAAAUAUGUCGGGCCGAACAGCGGCAAUUGUUCACCUCGAUCAUUAACCUGUCCGUGGGUGUUGGCAUGACGUUCCAAUGCGUGUUGGCCAUGUUCUUCCAUUGGCACACGAUUUCCGUAAUCAUGUUGGCGAUGAGCGGUGUCGGGUGCGCGUCCCUGUUCUUGUUACAGGAAUCGCCGGUGUGGCUGAGGGCCCGGGGCCGAGUCCUGCAGGCGGAAACAGUGGAACGGUGGUACGGAUUGGAGCCGCCCGCGGCCGCGGCCACCGUGGAGUCGGUCGACCGCAGCCGCGGUGACGUGGACGGACCGAUGAGCGCGGCCAGCUAUUGGUCGGUGUACGCGCACCGGACCGUGUGGAAGCCGACGCUGAUCUUGUUGACGUUAUUCGCCUGCAUGAUUCUGUCCGGUCUGCACGUAUUGAUCACGUACUCGGUGUACGUGUUGCACGGCUUCAACGUGCAGUGGGACAGCAUCCGGGUCACCGCGCUGCUGUGUGUCGCCCGCGUACUGGGAAGUCUUUUCUACUCCGCUUUGCACGGCGUCAAGCGGAGAACGCUGUUCGUCGUCUCGAGCGCCGGCAUGACCGUGUCGAUGGUCGUCAUUCUACUGGUGCCGAAAAUAUAUGGCAGCACGCUGACUAACUCCGUUCUGGUCGCGGCGUUCUUCGCGUACGUGUUCUCGUCCAUGUUCGGAGUUCUGCCGUUACCUUGGAUAUUGUGCGGCGAACUAUUCCCGCGGACCGUGGCAGUAAAUUUUGGACUGUCGUGACGUAUCAUCUAACGCGAUCUCAUGUACAAUUAUCAAUCGAUACACCGAUCUAUUGAACGAACCAGUUUUGAAGAAUUUUUCGUUAUCGGCCAUGGUGCACAUUACAUGUAUACUUUAUUGAACCUGUCGCAGAUUACAUAUGUACCCUUUUGGAUGUGACGCAGAUCAUACAUAAUUUUUAUUUUCAUCGGUAAUUUUUGGCGCACUAUGAGCAGUUUCGUACACAUAUGUAAUUGCAUCAUGAUGUUUACAAUAAUCAAAAUAUAUCCAAUAUU